UAUUCGCCCCAACCAUCGAGGACCACGACGGCGAUACGUUUUCCCUUUGGAAGCUUUGGGUGGUCCUCUAAUUUAAACGAUACUUGUCCUGAACUCGCCAUUGUUGUUAAGCUUCGAAUGUUUGUAUUUUAAUUAAGAUUUGAAUGAAGGUUUGAUGAUGGUUAUAUAUAUAGUAAGGGAAAGAAAAAAAAUGGAAAAACGAGAGGAGAAGACGGCGGCGAGAAUAGUGAAAGGAUUCAAAGAUUUUGACCUUUUAAAUUAAACUGGUGGCGUAGAGACAAAGCAUGGCAUAACCACGUGAUAUAAAUUUUUUCUUUAUUGAAAAAUCUCUCUCGCAACGUAAUCAUCCUCAUGAAAUAAAAAUUUAAGCUUCAACUUACUUAAAUUUAUGUCUUUUCUAGAAGCCGACAAGUGCUUUGAAAUAAAAAAAUUAUUAUUUAGUUCUUUUAAAUAUUUUUAAAUUUUAAAUUAAUAAAUAUAAAAUUAUAUUUUAAAAAAUUAUAAAGAUAUAAACUAUAAAAAAUUAAAAUUUUAUUCGGUCUCUCUAAAAAAAUUGUUCUAGCUUCGCCCCUGGUCUUCUUACAUUGAUAACUAUACUGAUAUUAAUCGAGUUAAAACUCAACCAAUCACACAUCUAUAAUCUUAUUCUUAUUUUAAUUGUUUUAUUGGAUGAUCGAGUAUUUAUUAUAAAAUUACUAAAAAGUAUAAUCACUUAUUUAGUCAUUCAACUUAAAAAUAAAAUCAUUUUAGCUCUUCAUUUAAAUUUUUUCUUAUUUUUAAUUUUUAAACCUGUAUUAUUUGUUAAAUCAUCUCAAAUGGAAUAAAAAAAUUAGCGUAUAUUAACUUUAUUGAUGUGACAUCCGAGUCUACGUAUAUGCCACAUUAAUAAUUAAUUAUUUUUUAAAAAAAUUAAAAAAAUUCAAUUUUAUACUUUUUAUAUUUUUAAAACAAAGAGGCAAAAAUUUAAAUAGAAGAAUAAAAUAACUUUUUUUGUGAAGUUGGAAGGCUAAAUUAGUCAUUAUAUAUACAAUUUAAACCCAAAACACCAUGUAUGAUAUACAUUUAACUUUAAUUUUAUUGCGGUAACCAAAACAUCAAUAGAUUAUUUAUGUAAAAUUUUAAUAAAUAUAUUUGUUACAUAAUUUUUGCGUAGUUUAAUAAGUUUAGUUUUUUUUGAUAGAGUAGAUCUAUAAAUAUAAAUAUAUUAUUAUAACUACAGAUAAAGAGACUUAAACAAUUAAACUUGAAUGCUCAAAUCCGAAACCUUCAUGUUUUUAUUACGUUUAUUAUAUUCUAAUUGAUCGAAAAUAUAUUAUUUAAACUUUGUACAUUAUGAUUCUCGGAACUUCAAUUUUAUUAUCUCAAUCAAAACUUCAUCCACUAAUUAUAUUAUAUUUAAUUAUUUCAUAUAAUAUUUAUACUAUAUUAUUAUAAUAUAUUUUUAUAUUUUUAUAUUAUGUUAUUUUUAUGUAUAUCGAGUUUAAUAUUAUCAUAUUUUAAGAAAAUAAUCACAGUGUGUGAUAGAAGAUUCUAGAAGUUCAAAACAAACAUAAAUAAUAACCCUUUUUUUCAAGGUUCAAAAGGAAUAAGGACAGAAAGUGACGCCCACAGCAGAGGAAUUACCGAGAAAAAUCCGUGAAAGUGCUAUUAAGGAUUAAUAUAUCAUUUAGGACUUAAAUUUAUUUUAAUAUUCAAUUUGGUAUUUGAAUUGUGUUCCAAAGUUCAAUUUGGUAUUCAUACCAAACGGCAUCAUGCUGUUCAAUAAAUGCUUGACAUGUGUGCUUGAUAUAUACUUAUUCUCGUUGAAGUUUGAAUACGAGAGCAUGAAGUAUGAGCCUUCAAAAACUAAAUAUCAAGGACCAAAACCAUAAUUUCACCAAUUAUAAUUACACUGUUCAAUAUUUACAUGAAGAAUAAAAAUGGAAAAUAAGGACACGGAUUUUGGGACCCACUUGUAAUAUUUUCCACAAUCUAAAAUUCGGGCCGAAGUACUCACUGCUUUAUUAAACACUUACUAUAUGCUCAUUUCCCCCAUCAAAGCAAAGCAAAUCAUCCGUUUGUGCCUUCCUAUCCACGCAAUGAACAACCCCAAGCUCAAAGGCUAUGGCUUCAAGCCCUCCGAUCAAAUCCUCAUCGACUAUCUCCGAGACCGAACACUGUUCGGCCGUGAUUACUUGGUCCAAGAUAUCAUCGUCCUCAGUCACGAUAUUUGCAACUAUGAUCCAUGGGAUCUACCUGGUAUGUUCCCUUGUUUUUGUUUUUCUUUUAUUCAAUUACUUACUAACAUUCUCUUUAAAUUCGAUUCUUUCUAUUCGUAGGUUGUGAUUCGGUCACACCAAAUGAUUCGGAACGGUUUUUUAUUUACCCGAAAACGUAUAAGUAUGCAAACAGUAAGCCCAAGGUGAUCGGUACGCCUACAGGACAAGUACCAAACAGUGAUCAGCGGCAGCCGAUGAUAAAUCGAGCUACCAAGAACGGAAAGUGGAAAGUCUCGGGGGUUCGAGUUAACGUAAAGUCUAGUGAUGAAACUAAACAAGUGAUUGGUAUUAAGACAAGAUUGUAUUUCAAGCACAAUAGUUGCCCAAACAAAACAUCAUGUGUGUUACAUCAGUACGAACUUGUUGAUAUUGAUCCUUGCCAAGUAAGUUAUUCCUUAAACUCGAACCGAUUUUCAGUUGUGUUGCGUUUAUUGUAAUGAAUUUUUCUUCUCAUUGAUUUUUGUAGGAUAAAUAUUUUCUUGGUAAAGUGAUAAUGAAAGAAUUUAAGCAGACCAAUAUUUCAAGUAACAAUAUAAAUGGUCGGAUUUCAAUUCCAGAGGUUAGUUAACUUCAAUUUGUGCCAACAAUGGUGACUAAUUAAAAUACUACACAUCAAGUUUAUGUUUUAUGUAUAUUUCAGGUUCGAGUAGAACUUGGUCCGGAGCCAUUAGUUGAAACCGAAGUAACUAAUGAGUACGAGUGGACUCAAAGUGAACAAACUAAUGAAUUUAUAACUCCUUGUCCGGUUUUCGGCAACGAAAACUUUAUUGAUGACGGGAAUGAAGUGAUCUCUAAUCACCAGUCACAAGUAAGAACGCUUUUCUCAGAAAUUUCGAAGUUUAGUUUAUUUAAUUAAUGUAAUUACUGUUAAAACGUGUCUCGAAAUCCACAGAUAAAUAAAGAGCUAAUUAGAAGCUUGGAAGUACCUAAUAUAGGUAUUGAGGAUCAAAAUCAAUCAUACCAGAAUAUUGGGAUCGAUAAUGAUCCAACAGUCCCCGAUGAAGGAAGCAAUCAACAUAAUAUAGGUGCAGUUGCAGAGAAUGAAAGCUCAAUGUUGCCUUCUAAUUUACAUGACCAUCUAAUAGAUUUUAUAAAUCAAAUGGUGAGUAACUUCUAUAUUGUUCAUAAAAAAACAGGCAUAAAACAUGUUGAAAAAUCUAAUAUUUGCUUGUUCAAUAUGAUCCAGGAAUGGUCCGAUUUAUACAACUUAUGCCGCGGUAACGAUGACGGGCUUUUUCUCGACGAGUUGUCUGACGAGCCGCCAGAACUCGGGCCACAAAAUCAAUGCGGUAUUAACCAGCAAGUUGCUGCUGGUGCUGAGAUAGAGAGCACCAAUUUGCCCCCUUUGGAUGUGACUGAAUCUUCCUACUCGACGGAUUCAGUCCGUAAAAGAUCAGCCUUGGAGGUUGAAAGAUCGGCCACCGGUGUAGAAACUGAAUUGGCUCAACAACAAGCAAACAGAAGUAGAUUAAAAAGUUCGAGUUGCUUAUCUCCCGUAUUUGAUUAGUGCUUAUAAGUCGUAAUGUUAGACCCAUUGUCUUAUAAGUUAGUUUUCGAGGUUGGGUUUAAGUUUAUUUGACUUGGGAUCCUAUCUAGGCAUAGGUAUUUAUAUCGAAAAGAUUUUUUGCGUUGCUUGUAUUACAAGUUAGGUUUUGAGGUCUCGUGUUUGAAUAUGUUUCAACUGUAUAUAUGGACAUCUGUAAUAGCAAGUGCGGCUUGCUUGAUAUGUUUUUCUUUUUAUGUUGAUUUCAGAAGUUAUAGCAUGUAAUUUCUUGACAUUUGUUGCUGCUGUAAGAGAAAAGACACAGAACCAUAUAGUGGGGAGCAUAACAAACUAAAGUGGCAAAAGAACAACAGGUUUGUGGUCAAAAAGGAAGAGAAUAAUGAAGAAAAAUGAGGGUUGGAAAAAAAAAAGCAUAAAAGUUUGCAAGUAAUUUCAUUCCAGAAAAAUAAUAAUAUCAAUGUUGCCGGCUAAGUUCUAGCUCAAUUGGUAUUAGUAUUAUUGUCUACGUAAGAGGAUGUCGAUUUGAACGUGCUGAAACACAUUUAUCCUCCUAUUGAAGGGUUGGUGAGCAAUUAUGGAUAAUUCUAGUCAAUUUGUAUAAUAAUGACAUCAAUGUUCGAUGGACCAAUACUUUCGACUAGUUAUAGGAGAAAUGACGAAUAAUUUACAUUAUUUAAGUCAAAACAUUAAAUAACAGGUUCAAAGUUAAACAAUUAUUUUUCAUUAAAUUUAUAAGAAAAAAACGUCUCGUUAAAAAAAAAUCAACUUUUAUGCCAAUUAGUUAUAGGUGAAGUUACGAAUGAUUUAGCUUUAUUUAAGUCAAGAAAUUAAGUCUCAAGUUUAAAUCUAAACAAUCCCUUUUCCUUCCCUCUAAUUUAAAAAAAAAACCUUUAUAAGAAAAUAAUGUCAUAAUUUAUUGAAAUAAACAGGGUAAAAAUUUUAUUAGGAGUCAUAUUUCAUUUUGUUUCCUCUAUUGAAAAAGUGCAAUUAGCACUUGUACAUUACAUAAUAAAGUAAAAUAGUCAUUUCUGUUAAAUUUUUUGUCCAUUUGUAUAUAAACUGGUUUGCCUGCCGGAACAACUAGACAGUGACGUCACGUGUUCCUUAUGCUGACGUACAAGGAUAAAUUUUUAACAGUAGAAAUGGAUAAAAUUUUUAAUAGAAUGACCAGUUUACUUUUUUAUCUAACGUAUAAAGAUUAUUUUACCCUUUUUUUGAGUAAAUGAAGCAAACUAUAAUCUAACUCCUAGUAAAGGGACAUCAAUUGUACUUUUACCAAUAAAAAGAAAAGUGUUAGUGCAUGGUGUUGAUAGUAUACGACAUAUCUUUUAAGUUUUUUUUUUUUUAAAUGUAUAUGAACAACUAAGAUUGUUUAAACCAGACCAGAUUUCAAUCGGAUAGAUUGAACCAAGAAUUAAUUGAGAUAUGGGUUCGGAGAAAGAUAUUGAACUGGUUAACUCAAGAAUCAAUAUAAACUAGUUGAACUAAACAAAAAAUCGAUUGAAUCAAACAAUUAAAUCGAUUGAACUAAAUUUUUAAUAUUUUUAAUAAAUUAUUUAAUUAAAUAGGAUGCACUGAACAAACCGAUCAGAUCAAUUAUCUAUUUGCGACCAAUUCGAUUAUUGAUUUAGUUCUAAAAAACUUUGUCAACAAGCAAAACCAUAAAGGCAGAGAAGCUUUGGACGCAAGUAAUGUAAGAGUUGAGGGUUAUUUUUUCUACGAAAAGACUGGGGUGAGCAUAACAAACUAAAGUAAGCGAAAGAAAAAUUUGGAACAGGCCAAAAAGGUAGUUGACUAAUGGCAAUUUAAAAGAAGAAUCAUGAAAAUUUUAAAAGAAGAAUACUAGUGAAUCAGACAAUUCGUGUCAAAGAUCGUAAAAAAAAAUAUUAUGUUUUUAUUAAACUGGUGGCGUAGAGAUAGAAGUGCUCAUGGGCCGGGCUGGGCCUAUAAAAAAUUUUGGCCCGAGUCCUAGAUCCAGGCCCGGCCCGAAAUAUGGGCCUGAAAUUUUGUCCAUGCCCGGCCCGGGAAAAAAAUCAUAAGCCCGGGCCCAGCCCGGCCCAUUUUUAAUAAAAUACCAAAAAAUUAUUUUAAAAAUUAAAAAAAUUAAAAAAAGUAUUUUAAAAAUAUUUUAAAAUUAAAAAAUUUAAAAUUUAAAAAUAUUUAUUAUAUCGGGCCGGGCCAGGUUGGGCCCGGGCCAAAAAAGUUGUGCCCGAGGCCCGGCCCAUUUUCUAAAUGGGCCUCAUUUUUUGCCCAAGCCCAUAUUUCAAGCCUAUAUUUUUACCCAAACUCGGCCCGACGGCCCGCCCGGCCCAUGAGCACCUCUACGUAGAGACAAAGCAUGGCAGUACCACGUGAUUACACAUCUAUAAAUUUUUUCUUUUUUCAAAAAUCUCUCUCUCAACGUAACUAUCCUCGUCAUGAAACAAAAAUUUAAUCAGCUUCAACUUACUCGAAUUCAUGUCUUGUUAGAAGCUGGUAAGGGCCUUUAAAAUGGAAAAUUAUUAUUUAAGUCUUUUAAAUAUUUUUAAAAUUUUAAAUUAGUAAAUAUAAAAUUAUAUUUUGACCUUUCAAUAUUAUAUAUAUUCAAUUUAAUUUUUUAAAAGUUAUAAAGAUAUAGACUAUUGUCGAAACCGUUUUUGAAAACAAAAAAAAUUGUCCACUUUUAAAAAUAAAACUGGAGUCGCCACCGAUCCUUUAUUAAGGUGUGACCGGCCCACCUUAAAAAUGAUUUUGGUCUGCGAAUUUUGAAAACAGGUUCGGGAGUCAGUUACGCACGAGGAAGGGUUAGCACCCUCGUAACGCCCAAAAAUCGGUACCAAAUUGACUAUUUAAUGUCUUAGUGUCGAAAGUUAAAAAAGAUUUUAAAAUAAGCUUGAAUGAUGAAAUUUGCAAAAGGAUAACCAAUUGUUCAAGUCAUGUAAAGAAAUUGAGUCCCAAUACGUUAGGGUACAAUUCCUCAUAAUCCCCGAACUUUGGAUAUCUCUCUUAUUUUAUACGAAAAUCUUCAUUUCGAGAAAGUAACAUGCCACACCCAAUACGUUAGGGCACAACAAGUUAAGUUCCCAAAAAUGAUUUUUAUGCAUUUUGAAUAAAAACUAUUCUUAGUCAUUUAGGAUUGACGAAGAAAAUCGGAACCCAAUACGUUAGGGCUCAAUUUCCCUCGAAAAUCCCAAACUUCCAAAAAUGCUUUUAUUCAAAAAAAACCUUUAAAUCAAGAAAAUAACUUUGAUGUAUUUUCAAGAGGGUAUGUUAAAGAGCUAAUAUACAAUAUGAUACAGAUCCUUUAAUUUUCAGCAUACACGAAUAAAUAUUCACAAAAACAUAUACAAGUACAAUUAACAAGUAAAUUUGCAAAUAUAUGUACACAUAUAUUUAUUACGCAUAUACAAGGAUACAUAAAAAAAUGGAAUGGAGUAUAACAAUCAAAACUAACAAAAAUGCAUGCAUAUAUAUUUGAAAAUCGUGAAAAUAAAAUAAAAAUAUAAAAGUAUGUACAUGUGUAUAUAUUUACAAGAUAAAAAAAAUGUUUAAGUAUACAUGAAAAUCUGCAUUCGCAUAUAUUUAGAUAUACAUAUAUAUAUAUAAUAUAUAAAAUAAUAGAUUAUGUAAAACAAUAUAAAUAUUUAUAAUAAUUUUUAAAAACGGGUACAUAAGUGUAUUAAAACGUGCAUGUGUUAUGGAACAUAUAUAUAUAAAUAUAAAGUAUAAAGUAUACAAAGAAAUUUAGAAAAGUAAAAUAAAACAAGUAUGCAUGCGUAAAACAUAUGCAAAUUUAAACACUCAAAAGUAUAUAUUAAAAUAUGCACAUAUAUUAUAUAAAAAUAUGCGUGUAUAUGUAUUGCAAUUAUAGUAGUAAUAAUAAUAGAAAACAACGCAAUAAUAACAAUAUAAUGUAACAUAAUAAUAGUAAAAAAAAUAUAAAAAAAAAUGAAAAGAAGGAUUGAAUUGAAUUUAAAACAAAAAAUGGGGGGCAAAAUUUAAAACAAUAAAAAAGAUCAAUUUGAACACGCGAGCGAUAGUGGGGGACUAAAAAGGAAAUAAUUCCUUCCCUUCCAAAACGCUGCGCAAUGUGGUAUCAAAUUGAAAUAAAAAUGAAAUACGCAACCCAAAUUUUAAAACGAAUAAAAAGGAUUUAAUUGACGUGCGCUGCAAAAGAAAGGGGCUAAAUGCGCAAAUUCCCCACCUGACGUCAGAGCGCGCGGAUCCUCCCCUUCGGGUCGGGUCACCGCGCGGGUCAGGGCCUGGACAAAACGGCACCGUUUUGAGGUUUUAAUAAAACAAAAUUUCCUUUUCAAAAUCAUUCAGAACCGAAUGAAAGAAGAAAAAAAACUAAAAAAAAAAAUCCUCUGGUGUUCUGCUAGGGUUUUCCCCCCCAAGCGUCCUCGCGCCGCCGCUCGCCUGGCCAAGCUCCGAUCGCGACGGAGAUGGCCACCAGUCCGGCGUCCUCAACAAAUGAGGUAAACCCUUUCCCUUUUCUUUGUUAUUUUUUUAAAAAACCAUAAAACGCAAAAGGAGAGAAAAAAAUAAAAUAAAAAUGAAACUAAAAGAACCCGACUCACCUUAAAAAAACUUUAUACUCUGUUUUCCUUUCAAUUUCUUUUUUCUAUUUCUCUGUUAUUCAAUAUCCGUCCCUUUUUACAGAUUUCAAAGGGCCUUUUAUAGGCCAAAAAUAAAAUAAAUCGAGGGGGAAAAAUAAUCUUGCUUGCUGUUUUUUUUCUCUUUGGACUCCUUGAGUCCGUUUUUCAGGUGUUCGUGGAGAGUUUGGCGCGCGUGGAGGCCGAAACGUGCGGCGAUCGGGCGUUGGGCGCGGCGCGAGUACUGUUGCGGCGUUGAGGCAGAUGCGGCGCUCCUUAUUGCUUAGGGUUUUUCUGCUUAACUUUGUAGUGUUGGGCCAGGAACCGUUUUGGGCCGUCUGUUUAAUUUUGUAAUGUUGGACUAGGAACUGCUUUGGACCGAUUGGGCCUUAUUACAACUAUAAAAAAAUUAAAAUUUCAUUCGAUCCCUCUAAAAAAUUGUUCUAGCUUCGCCCCUGGUAUUCUUACAUUGAUAACUAUACUCAUAUUAAUCGAGCUAAAACUCAACCAAUCAUACAUCUAUAAUCUUAUUCUUAUUUUAAUUGUUUUAUUGGAUGAUCGAGUAUUUAUUAUAAAAUUACUAAAAAGUAUAACCACUUAUUUGGUCAUUCAACUUAAAAAUAAAGUCAUUUUAGCUAUUCAUUUAAAUUUUUUCUUAUUUUUAACUCUUAAACUUGUAUUAUUUGUUAAAUCAUCCCAAAUGGAUAAGAAACUUAGCGCAUAUUAACUUUGCUGACGUGACAUCCAUGUAGGAGUCCACGUAUAUGCCACAUUAGUAAUUAAUUAUUUUUAAAAAAAUUAUAAAAUAUUAAAAAAUUGCAAACUUAUACUUUUUAUAUUUUUAAUUUUUUUGAAUUUUUAUUUUAAAAUUUAAUUAAUUGUUAAUGUGGCAUCAAUGUGUAUGACAGUUAAGAAAGUUAACAAAUAGACGAAAAUUUAAAUGGAAGAAUAAAAUGAUUUUUUUGUGAAGUUAGAAGGCUAAAUUAGUCAUUAUAUAUACAAUUUAAACCCAAAACACCAUGUAUGAUAUACAUUUAACUUUAAUUUUAUCAUGGUAACCAAAACAUCAAUAGAUUAUUUAUGUAAAAUUUUAAUAAAUAUAUUUGUUACAUAAAUUUUUUUAUUCAUAUCACGUGUAGUUUAAUAAAUUUUUUUUUUAACUGAGUAGAUUUAUAAAUAUAAAUAUAUGAUCAUAACUACACAUAAAGAGACUUAAACAAUUAAACCUGAAUGCUCAAAUUCGAAACCUUUAUGUUUUUAUUAAGUUUAUUAUAUUUUAAUUGAUCGAAAAUAUAUUAUUUAAACUUUGUACAUUAUGAUUCUCGGAACUUCAAUUUUGUUAUCUCAAUCAAAAUUUCAUCCACUAAUCAUAUUAUAUUUAAUUAUUUUAUAAUAUUUAUUUUUUUUUAUAUAAGACCAUCUUAAAUUCAGACACUUAAAUGUGUAUCUACUUAAACUACCACACAAAUAAAAUCAUUAAUUACUUAUAUUAAUUAGAAUAUGGUAAACAUCUUUGAUCAACGGGUCAAAUGUUGAGUUCUUAUAAUAUAAAAAUAUAUUUUUAGAUUUUUUAUAUUUUGAUAUAAUGUUAUUUUUAUGUAAAUCGGGUUUAAUAUUAUCAUAUUUUAAGAAAAUAAUCACAGUGUGUGAAGAUUCUAGAAGUUCAAACAAAACAUCAUUAAUAUCCCUUUUUUUCAAGGUUCGAAAGGAAGAAGGGCAGAAAGUGACGCCCACAGCAGAGGAAUUUCUGAGAAAAAUCGGUGAAAGUGCUAUUAAGGAUUAAUAUAUCAUUUAGGACUUGAAUUUAUCUUAAUAUUCAAUUUGAUAUUUGAAUUGUGUACCAAAGUUUAAUUUGGUAUUCAUACCAAAUCACAUCAUGCUGUUCAAUAAAUGCUUGACAUGUGUGCUCGAUAUAUACUUAUUCUCGUUGAAGUGUAAAUACGAGAGCAUGAAGUAUGAGCCUUCAAAAACUAAAUAUCAAGGACCAAAACCAUAAUUUCACCAAUUAUAAUCACACUGUUCAAUAUUUACAUAAAGAAAAAAAAAUGGAAAAUAAGGACACGGAUUUUGGGACCCAAUUGUAAUAUUUUCCACAAUCUAAUCUUCGGGCCGAAGUACUGACUGCUUUAUGAAGCACUUACUAUAUACUCAUUUCCCCCAUCAAAGCAAAGCAAAGCAAAGCAAAUCAUCCGUUUGUGCCUUCCUAUCCAUGCAAUGAACAACCUCAAGCUCAAAGGCUAUGGCUUCAACCCCUCCGAGCAAAUCCUCAUCGGCUAUCUCCGAGACCGAACACUGUUCGGCCGUGAUUACUUGGUCCAAGACAUCAUCGACCUCGGUCACGAUAUUUGCAACUAUGAUCCAUGGGAUCUACCUAGUAUGUUCCCUUGUUUUUGUCUUUCUUUUAUUCAAUUACUUACUAACAUUCUCUUUAAAUUCGAUUCUUUCUAUUCGUAGGUUGCGAUUCUAUCACACCGAGUGAUUCGGAACGGUUUUUUAUUUACCCGAAAACGUAUAAGUAUGCAAACAGUAAGUCCAAGGUGAUUGGUACGCCUACAGGACAAGUACCGAAAGGUGAACAAUGGCAGCCGAUGAUAAAUCGAGCUACCAAGAACGGAAAUUGGAAAGUCUCGGGGGAUCAAGUUGAUGUAAAGUCUAGUGAUGAUACUAAACAAGUGAUUGGUAUUAAGACAAGGUUGUAUUUCAGGCACAAUAGCUGCCCAAACAAAACAACAUGGACGUUAUAUCAGUUCGAACUUGUUGGUAUUGAUCCUUGCCAAGUAAGUUAUUCCUUAAACUCGAACCGAUUUUCGGUUGCGUUGCGUUUAUUGUAAUGAAUUUUUCUUCUCAUUGAUUUUUGUAGGAUAAAUAUUUUCUUGGUAAAGUGAUAAUGAAAAAGCCAACCAAUAUUUCAAGUAACAAUAUAGACGAUCAGAUCUCAAUUCCGCAGGUUAGUUAACUUCAAUUCGUGCCAACAAUGGUGACUAAUUAAAAUACUACACAUCGAGUUUACGUUUUAUGCAUAUUUCAAGUUCGAGCAGAACUUGGUCCGGAGCCAUUAGUUGAAACGGAAGUAACUAAUGAGUACGAUGAGUGGACUCAAAGUGAACAAACUAAUGAAUUUAUAACACCCUAUCCAGUUUUCGACAAUGAGAACUUUAUUGCUAACGGGAAUGAAGUGAUCUCCUAUCACCAGUCGCAAGUAAUAACACUUUUCUCGGAAAUUUUUAAAAUACUACACAUCGAGUUUAUGUUUUAUGUAUAUUUCAAGUUCGAGUAGAACUCGGUUCAGAGCCAUUAGUUGAAACCGAAGUUACUAAUGAGUAUGGGUGGACUCAAAGUGAACAAACUAAUGAAUUUAUAACUCCCUGUCCGGUUUUCGACAAUGAGAACUUUAUUGAUGAUUGGAAUGAAGUGAUCUCCAAUCACCAAGCACAAGUAAGAACACUUUUCUCGGAAAUUUUUAAAAUACUACACAUUGAGUUUAUGUUUUAUGUAUAUUUCAGGUUCAAGUAGAACUCGGUUCAGAGCCAUUAGUUGAAAACGAAGUAACUAAUGAGUACGGGUGGACUCAAAGUGAACAAACUUAUGAAUUUAUAACUCCCUGUCCGGUUUUCGACAUUAAUGAUGGGAAUGAAGUGAUCUCCAAUCACCAGUCACAAGUAAGAACAAUUUUCUCGGAAAUUUUGAAGUUUAGUUCAUUUAAUUCAUGUAAUUACUGUUAAAACGGGUCUCAAAAUCUACAGAUAAAUAUGGAGCUAAUUAGAAGCUUGGAAGCACCUAAUAUAGGUAUUGAGGAUCAAAAUCAAUCAUACCGGAAUAUUGGGAUCGAUAUUAAUGAUCGAACAGUCCCUGAUGGAAGCAAUCAACUUAAUAUAGUUGCAGUUGCAGAGAAUGAAAGCUCAAUGUUGCCUUCUAAUUUACAUGACCUAAUUCAAAUGGUGAGUAACUUCUAUAUUGUUCAUAAAAAAACAGGCAUAAAACAUGUUGAAAAAUCUAAUAUUUGCUUGUUCAAUAUGAUCCAGAAAUGGUCUGACUUAUACAACUUAUACGGCUGGUGCUGAGAUAGAGAGCACCAAUUUGCCCCCUUUGGAUGUGGCUGAAUCUUCCUACUCGACGGAUUCAGUCCGUAAAAGAUCAGCCUUGGAGGUUGAAGGAUCGGGCACCGGUGUAGAAACUGAAUUGGCUCAACAACAAGCAAAGAGAAGUAGAUUAUAAAGUUCGUGUUGCUUAUCUCCCGUAUUUGAUUAGUGCUUAUAAGUCGUAAUGUUAGACCUAUCCUCUUAUAAGUUAGUUUUAGAGGUUGGGUUUAUGUUUAUUUGACUUGGGUUUACGUUGCUUGUAUUACAAGUUAGGUUUUGAGGUCGUGUGUUUCGAUAUGUUUCAACUAUAUAUAUGGACAUCUAUAAUAGCAAAGCGUGGCUUGCUUGAUAUAUAUAUAUAUAUAUAUAUUAAUAUAGAUAUAUUUAUUUCAAAAGUUAUAACAUGUAAUUUCUUGACAUUUGUUGAUGUUGUAAGAGUAAAGACAGAGAUAGUGGGGAGCAUAACAAACUAAAGUGGCAAAAGAACAACAGGUUAGUGGUCAAAAAGGCAGAGAAUAAUGAAGAAAAAUUAGGGUUGGAAAAAAAGCAUAAAAGUUUGCAAGUAAUUUCAUUCCAGAAAAAUAAAAUGUCACAUUUUUAAGAGAUUAAAGAAAAAAAAAAUAUCAAUGUUGCCGGCUAAGUUCUAGCUCGAUUGUUAUUAGUAUUAUUGUCUACGUAAGAGGACGUGGGUUUGAACGUGUUGAAACACAUUUAUCCUUUUAUUGAAGGAUUGGAGAGCGACUAUAAAUAAUUCUAGUCAAUUUGUAUAAUAAUAAUAUCAAUGUUUGAUGGAUCAAUACUUUUUAUGUCGAUUAGUUAUAGGGGAAAUGAUGAAUAACUUACAUUAUUUAAAUCAAAACAUUAAAUAACGGGUUCAAAGCUAGACAAUUAUUUUUCAUUAAAAUUACAAGAAAAUUACGUCUCAUUAAAAAAAAACAACUUUUAUGACAAUUAGUUAUAGGUAAGUUACAAAUAAUUUAGUUUUAUUUAAGUCAAGAAAUUAAAUCUCAAGUUUAAAUCUAAAUAAUCCCUUUUCCUUCCCUCUAAUUAAAAAAAAACCGUUAUAAGAAAAUAAUGCAUAAUUUAUUGAAAUAAAUAGCGUAAAAGUAUUAUUAGGAGUCAUAUUUCAUUUUGUUUCCUCUAUUGAAAAAGUGCAAUUAGCACUUGUACAUUACAUAAUAGAGUAAAAUAGUCAUUUUUGUUAAAAUUUUCGUCCAUUUGUACUGUUAUAAAUUGGUCUCGUUGACGGAACAACUAGACAAUAACGUCACGUGUUCCUCAUGCUGACGUAUAAAGAUAAAUUUUUAACAGUAGAAAUGGAUAAAAUUUUUAAUAGAAUGACUAGUUUGCUCUUUGAUCUAACGUAUAAAGAUUAUUUUACCUUUUUUUUUUGAGUAAAUAAAGCAAACUAUAAUCUAACUCCUAGUAAAGGGACCUCAAUAGUACUUUUACCAAUAAAAAGAAAAGUGUUAGUGCAUGGUGUUGAUAGUAUACGAUACAUCUUUAAUUUUUUUUUUUUAUGUAUAUGAACAACUAAGAUUGUUUAAACCGGACUAGAUUUCAAUCGGAUAGGUUGGACCAAGAAUUAAUUGAGAUAUGGGUUCGGAGAAAGAUAUUGAACCGGUUAACUCAGGAAUCAAUAUGGACUAGUUGAACUAAACAAAAGAUCGAUUGACUCAAACGAUUAAAUCGAUUGAACUGGAUUUUUAAUAUUUUUAAUAAGUUAUUUAAUUGAAUAGGAUGCACUGAACAAAUCGAUUAGAUCAAUAAUCUAUUUGCCUGACCAAUUCGAUUAUUGAUUUAGUUCUAAACAACUUUGUCAACAAGCAAAACCAUAAAGGGAAAGAAGCUUUGGACGCAAGUAGGGUAAGAGUUGAGUGUUAUUUUUUCUACGAAAAGAUUGGGAUGAAGAUAGCGAUAUAUUAGAAGCAAAUUUGGUGCCCAAGAAAGACCUUUUUAUGUGUGCUUAUAAUAUAAGGACAACCAUAUUAGUGGGGAACAUAACAAACUAAAGUAAGCCAAAGAAAAAUUUGGAAAAGGCCAAAAAGGUACGUGGCUAUUGACAAUUUAAAAGAAGAAUCAUGAAAAUUCUAAAAGAAUAAUCCUAGUGAAUUAGACAAUUCGUGUCAAAGAUCGUAGAAAAAUAUUGUUUGGAUUUUGGUUUGUAAAUUCAAUUCGAAACUUUCAAAGUUAUUUCAUGAAAAAAAUAUUGAAUUGUAGAAGAUAAGGAGAAUGUGAGUUUUCGGUUGGUGCCAGUGGUAUAAACAGAGAAAGUCAUACAAUAAUGAUUUUAGUAGCCUAGCGGUUUAAAUGAAAACUUUCGAAUAGUUUAUUAAUCAUUUUGUAACUUUUUAAAGUUAAGUAACCAAAACAUAAAUUUACUAAUAGUCUAAUGACCUUGAAUGUAAUUUACCCUAGAAAAUUGAUCCAACCGGUUUAUAGAAUCGAAUUAUUAGAGGAUUUGAAAAAUCUAAAAAGACCGACCCAACAAAAGCAAGCUCAACCCAAUUCUUCGUUUAUUGAAUUUUCUAAAAAACUUUUGGUCUGCCCAAAAUUUCGUGAUUCUUAGCCCAAGAAUAUUGAAUUUUAAUUUUCUAUUUACUGUUUUAUUUUCUGAUUUAAUUUUAAAUUAUUUUCUUUGAGCCCUAGGCAGCUGAGUAUUGCUUCAUCUACUCUUUCUUCUUCUUUAGCCGUGAGCCUUUGCUUCAUUGAAGUUCUAAAUCUCUGCUUUGCUUGCUGCUGCCGUAGUGAUUUGCUGCUGCUGUCGGCUCCGGUAAGUUCUUUUUUUUUUUUUUUAAAUUUUAUUCGAUAGUGCUAGAAUAAGUAAGCACAUGCUAUCUACGUUGUUUAUGAACCUUAGGCUUCUUCUUAAGUGAAUAUUGAUUGAUAAUUUGAUGCAUCGAAAGUGUUGCUUUAAAACAAGAAAUUUCACAACAGAAUAAACCUAUUGAAACUAUUUGUUUUUACUGUUUUAAGGCUUUAGCAAAUUUGCAAUAUUGAUCGAUUAUCAGAGUCAGUUUUUUGUUAACAAUAUGCAAUAUGAACACACAAACACACAAGCGCGCGCACACACAAAAUUUUUAGACUUUUUUUAAGAUUUUCAACCGGUUAAAUAGGGAAUUAAUGGUUUGAUUGGUUGGAUUACUAACUUGGUUCUUUAACCCCAUUCAACUAAACCCUAAUUCUCUCUUUUUCAGGAUUACAAUAAGAAUGGACAAGUUUCAUCAAACAGAUUGCAUUGAAAUUUUAUCUCAAAUUAAGCAUCAAGAGAAGCUGCUUAAUCUCAAAAGAAGGUUCUUCCUCGUCUUUCUUUUCUUUAAUUUCUUGCCUAUUCAAUUUAUUCUCUUUGAUUUCUUCAAUAUAUAUACUUUUCUUAUAAUUCUUCACAAUUCUGAAAAUUAGCUAGUAAUUUGUAAUAUAAAAUAUACUGGUGGUCUUUUUAUUUAUUUAUUUCUUGUUGAAACAAGUUAAAGAUUGCCCUUUUUCUCAGUGCAUAUAUAUGUGUGUGUGUGUGAAGGGAAUUAUGUUGUUUCUUGUAAGAAUGCCUACUAGAGGACCACGACGGCGAUACGUUUUCCCUUUGGAAGCUUUGGGUGGUCCUCUAAUUUAAACGAUACUUAUCCUGAACUCGCCAUUGUUGUUAAGCUUCGAAUGUUUGUAUUUUAAUUAAGAUUUGAAUGAAGGUUUGAUGAUGGUUAUAUAUAUAUAUAUUAAGGGAAAGAAAAAAAAUGGAAAAACGAGAGGAGAAGACGACGGCG
Molecule: long non-coding RNA, 16173 nt
Filed under: Gossypium raimondii (Peruvian cotton)
Lineage: Eukaryota; Viridiplantae; Streptophyta; Magnoliopsida; Malvales; Malvaceae
Description: long non-coding RNA (GRAI_LNC003355)
Rfam family: MIR7502 microRNA precursor family (bases 13615-13750)
Source: RNAcentral